CGGGACACGUGGUAUCCUGUCUGAAUAUGGGGGGACCAUCCUCCAAGGCUAAAUACUCCUGACUGACCGAUAGUGAACCAGUACCGUGAGGGAAAGGCGAAAAGAACCCCGGCGAGGGGAGUGAAAAAGAACCUGAAACCGUGUACGUACAAGCAGUGGGAGCACGCUUAGGCGUGUGACUGCGUACCUUUUGUAUAAUGGGUCAGCGACUUAUAUUCUGUAGCAAGGUUAACCGAAUAGGGGAGCCGAAGGGAAACCGAGUCUUAACUGGGCGUUAAGUUGCAGGGUAUAGACCCGAAACCCGGUGAUCUAGCCAUGGGCAGGUUGAAGGUUGGGUAACACUAACUGGAGGACCGAACCGACUAAUGUUGAAAAAUUAGCGGAUGACUUGUGGCUGGGGGUGAAAGGCCAAUCAAACCGGGAGAUAGCUGGUUCUCCCCGAAAGCUAUUUAGGUAGCGCCUCGUGAAUUCAUCUCCGGGGGUAGAGCACUGUUUCGGCAAGGGGGUCAUCCCGACUUACCAACCCGAUGCAAACUGCGAAUACCGGAGAAUGUUAUCACGGGAGACACACGGCGGGUGCUAACGUCCGUCGUGAAGAGGGAAACAACCCAGACCGCCAGCUAAGGUCCCAAAGUCAUGGUUAAGUGGGAAACGAUGUGGGAAGGCCCAGACAGCCAGGAUGUUGGCUUAGAAGCAGCCAUCAUUUAAAGAAAGCGUAAUAGCUCACUGGUCGAGUCGGCCUGCGCGGAAGAUGUAACGGGGCUAAACCAUGCACCGAAGCUGCGGCAGCGACGCUGAUGCGUUGUUGGGUAGGGGAGCGUUCUGUAAGCCUGUGAAGGUGUGCUGUGAGGCAUGCUGGAGGUAUCAGAAGUGCGAAUGCUGACAUAAGUAACGAUAAAGCGGGUGAAAAGCCCGCUCGCCGGAAGACCAAGGGUUCCUGUCCAACGUUAAUCGGGGCAGGGUGAGUCGACCCCUAAGGCGAGGCCGAAAGGCGUAGUCGAUGGGAAACAGGUUAAUAUUCCUGUACUUGGUGUUACUGCGAAGGGGGGACGGAGAAGGCUAUGUUGGCCGGGCGACGGUUGUCCCGGUUUAAGCGUGUAGGCUGGUUUUCCAGGCAAAUCCGGAAAAUCAAGGCUGAGGCGUGAUGACGAGGCACUACGGUGCUGAAGCAACAAAUGCCCUGCUUCCAGGAAAAGCCUCUAAGCAUCAGGUAACAUCAAAUCGUACCCCAAACCGACACAGGUGGUCAGGUAGAGAAUACCAAGGCGCUUGAGAGAACUCGGGUGAAGGAACUAGGCAAAAUGGUGCCGUAACUUCGGGAG
This 1322-nucleotide ribosomal RNA is filed under the name Escherichia coli. RNAcentral's name for it is "partial 23S ribosomal RNA". It matches the Rfam family "Bacterial large subunit ribosomal RNA", at positions 418 to 1742 of the family's 2925-position model. Lineage: Bacteria; Pseudomonadati; Pseudomonadota; Gammaproteobacteria; Enterobacterales; Enterobacteriaceae. The record is from RNAcentral.